GCGGCGUGCUUAACACAUGCAAGUCGAACGCUGAAGCACCAGCUUGCUGGUGUGGAUGAGUGGCGAACGGGUGAGUAACACGUGAGCAACCUGCCCCUGACUCUGGGAUAAGCGCUGGAAACGGUGUCUAAUACCGGAUAUGACCUAUCACCGCAUGGUGUGUGGGUGGAAAGAUUUAUUGGUUGGGGAUGGGCUCACGGCCUAUCAGCUUGUUGGUGGGGUAAUGGCCUACCAAGGCGACGACGGGUAGCCGGCCUGAGAGGGUGACCGGCCACACUGGGACUGAGACACGGCCCAGACUCCUACGGGAGGCAGCAGUGGGGAAUAUUGCACAAUGGGCGAAAGCCUGGUGCAGCAACGCCGCGUGAGGGAUGACUGCCUUCGGGUUGUAAACCUCUUUUAGUAAGGAAGAAGCCUUCGGGUGACGGUACUUGCAGAAAAAGCACCGGCUAACUACGUGCCAGCAGCCGCGGUAAUACGUAGGGUGCAAGCGUUGUCCGGAAUUAUUGGGCGUAAAGAGCUCGUAGGCGGUUUGUCGCGUCUGCUGUGAAAUCCCGGGGCUUAACCCCGGGCCUGCAGUGGGUACGGGCAGACUAGAGUGCGGUAGGGGAGAUUGGAAUUCCUGGUGUAGCGGUGGAAUGCGCAGAUAUCAGGAGGAACACCGAUGGCGAAGGCAGAUCUCUGGGCCGUAACUGACGCUGAGGAGCGAAAGCAUGGGGAGCGAACAGGAUUAGAUACCCUGGUAGUCCAUGCCGUAAACGUUGGGAACUAGAUGUAGGGCCUGUUCCACGGGUUCUGUGUCGUAGCUAACGCAUUAAGUUCCCCGCCUGGGGAGUACGGCCGCAAGGCUAAAACUCAAAUGAAUUGACGG
RNAcentral lists this ribosomal RNA (871 nucleotides) under uncultured Actinomycetes bacterium. RNAcentral describes it as "bacterial SSU rRNA". It matches the Rfam family "Bacterial small subunit ribosomal RNA", at positions 39 to 916 of the family's 1533-position model. Lineage: Bacteria; Bacillati; Actinomycetota; Actinomycetes. The record is from RNAcentral.